This 368-nucleotide ribosomal RNA is filed under the name uncultured bacterium. Its description in RNAcentral is "partial 16S ribosomal RNA". It matches the Rfam family "Bacterial small subunit ribosomal RNA", at positions 338 to 723 of the family's 1533-position model. The record is from RNAcentral.
CCUACGGGAGGCAGCAGUGGGGAAUAUUGCACAAUGGGGGAAACCCUGAUGCAGCGACGCCGCGUGAGCGAUGAAGUCUUUCGGUAUGUAAAGCUCUAUCAGCAGGGAAGAAAAUGACGGUACCUGACUAAGAAUCCCCGGCUAACUACGUGCCAGCAGCCGCGGUAAUACGUAGGGGGCAAGCGUUAUCCGGAUUGACUGGGUGUAAAGGGAGCGUAGACGGGUUUGCAAGCCAGAUGUGAAAGGCUGGGGCUCAACCCCAGGAGUGCAGUUGGAACUGGCAUGCUAGAGUGUAGGAGAGGCAGGCGGAAUUCCGAGUGUAGCGGUGAAAUGCGUAGAUAUUAGGAGGAACACCAGUGGCGAAGGCG